This 1101-nucleotide ribosomal RNA is filed under the name Apilactobacillus kunkeei. RNAcentral describes it as "bacterial SSU rRNA". It matches the Rfam family "Bacterial small subunit ribosomal RNA", at positions 63 to 1127 of the family's 1533-position model. Lineage: Bacteria; Bacillati; Bacillota; Bacilli; Lactobacillales; Lactobacillaceae. The record is from RNAcentral.
CUCUCAAUUGUUUUAUGCUUGCAUAAAUGAUUUUUGGAUUCGGAGCGAGUGGCGAACUGGUGAGUAACACGUGGGUAACCUGCCCCGAAGCGGGGGAUAACAUUUGGAAACAAAUGCUAAUACCGCAUAAUUAGUUGGAACCGCAUGGUUCCAAUUUGAAAGAUGGCUCUGCUAUCACUUUGGGAUGGACCCGCGCCGUAUUAGUUAGUUGGUGAGAUAAAAGCCCACCAAGACGAUGAUACGUAGCCGACCUGAGAGGGUAAUCGGCCACAUUGGGACUGAGACACGGCCCAGACUCCUACGGGAGGCAGCAGUAGGGAAUCUUCCACAAUGGACGAAAGUCUGAUGGAGCAACGCCGCGUGAGUGAUGAAGGGUUUCGGCUCGUAAAACUCUGUUGUUAAAGAAGAACAAGUGUUAGAGUAACUGUUAACACUUUGACGGUAUUUAACCAGAAAGCCACGGCUAACUACGUGCCAGCAGCCGCGGUAAUACGUAGGUGGCAAGCGUUGUCCGGAUUUAUUGGGCGUAAAGCGAGCGCAGGCGGUUUUGUAAGUCUGCUGUGAAAGCCCUCAGCUCAACUGAGGAAGUGCAGUGGAAACUACAAAACUUGAGUACAGAAGAGGAAAGUGGAACUCCAUGUGUAGCGGUGAAAUGCGUAGAUAUAUGGAAGAACACCAGUGGCGAAGGCGGCUUUCUGGUCUGUUACUGACGCUGAGGCUCGAAAGCAUGGGUAGCGAACAGGAUUAGAUACCCUGGUAGUCCAUGCCGUAAACGAUGAAUACUAGGUGUUGGAGGGGUUUCCGCCCUUCAGUGCCGCAGCUAACGCAUUAAGUAUUCCGCCUGGGGAGUACGACCGCAAAGGUUGAAACUCAAAGGAAUUGACGGGGGCCCGCACAAGUGGUGGAGCAUGUGGGUUUAAUUUCGAUGCUACGCGAAGAACCUUACCAGCUCUUGACAUCUUUCUGCCAACCCAAGAGAUUGGGCGUUCCCCUUUCGGGGACAGAUGACAGUGGUGCAUGGUUUGUCGUCAGCUCGUGUCGGGAGAUGUUGGGUUUAAGUCCCGCACGAGCGCACCCUUAUUAAUUAGUUGCCAGCAUUUA